AGCAGCCGCGGUAAUUCCAGCUCCAAUAGCGUAUAUUAAAGUUGUUGCAGUUAAAAAGCUCGUAGUUGAAUUUCGGGAUCAAUAUAUCGGUCAUGCUUAGGUAUGUACUGGUAUUAUUGAUUUCUCCCUUCUGAAGAACCAUGAUGUCAUUAAUUUGAUGUCGUGGGGAAUCAGGACUGUUACUUUGAAAAAUUAGAGUGUUUAAAGCAGGCAUACGCUUGAAUACAUUAGCAUGGAAUAAUGAAAUAGGACGUUUGAUUCUAUUUUGUUGGUUUCUAGGAUCGACGUAAUGAUUAAUAGGGAUAGUUGGGGGCAUUAGUAUUCAAUUGUCAGAGGUGAAAUUCUUGGAUUUAUUGAAGACUAACUACUGCGAAAGCAUUUGCCAAGGAUGUUUUCAUUAAUCAAGAACGAAAGUUAGGGGAUCGAAGACGAUCAGAUACCGUCGUAGUCUUAACCAUAAACUAUGCCGACUAGGGAUCGGAUGAUGUUAAUUUUUAAUGACU
This 503-nucleotide ribosomal RNA is filed under the name uncultured Glomus. RNAcentral's name for it is "SSU rRNA". It matches the Rfam family "Eukaryotic small subunit ribosomal RNA", at positions 569 to 1076 of the family's 1831-position model. The record is from RNAcentral. Lineage: Eukaryota; Fungi; Glomeromycota; Glomeromycetes; Glomerales; Glomeraceae.